ACGAACGCUGGCGGCGUGCUUAACCCGUGCAAGUCGAACGGAAAGGCCCUGCUUUUGUGGGGUGCUCGAGUGGCGAACGGGUGAGUAACACGUGAGUAACCUGCCCUUGACUUUGGGAUAACUUCAGGAAACUGGGGCUAAUACCGGAUAGGAGCUCCUGCUGCAUGGUGGGGGUUGGAAAGUUUCGGCGGUUGGGGAUGGACUCGCGGCUUAUCAGCUUGUUGGUGGGGUAGUGGCUUACCAAGGCUUUGACGGGUAGCCGGCCUGAGAGGGUGACCGGCCACAUUGGGACUGAGAUACGGCCCAGACUCCUACGGGAGGCAGCAGUGGGGAAUAUUGCACAAUGGGCGGAAGCCUGAUGCAGCAACGCCGCGUGCGGGAUGACGGCCUUCGGGUUGUAAACCGCUUUCGCCUGUGACGAAGCGUGAGUGACGGUAAUGGGUAAAGAAGCACCGGCUAACUACGUG
This 467-nucleotide ribosomal RNA is filed under the name uncultured bacterium. Its description in RNAcentral is "partial 16S ribosomal RNA". It matches the Rfam family "Bacterial small subunit ribosomal RNA", at positions 29 to 507 of the family's 1533-position model. The record is from RNAcentral.